GCCUGCGUAACACAAAAAGACAAGAUACCAGGUGAGAGGUGUGCCCAUGCGGCAUUUAUUAGGAGGGGGUGGACAUUUGGAAUGAAAUGCCUAUCUCAAUCAAUCAGCCAUACAUUAGACAUAAAUUACAAUCUGUGUUAAAAUGACUAAUUAUUGACAUCUGCGGCGCCAUCCUUGUGUAACUGUGUUUUAAUUUUAAAGUUCAGUAAAGGAAUGUGGUUUCCACAGGUGUAUCCUGCCCAUUGUUGGCCAGAAUGAAGUCAUUCGAAAAGAGGAAUUUCAGAAACUUUACUAUGAGCUAUCAUGGGUGGUUCCCCUGUGCGUUCAGGAAGGAAAUACUACGUUGCUCGUAGACAAAGAAAAUGUUGAAAAAAAAAAAAAAGUUCACAGCUUCAUACCAGAUAAAAGAAUAGCCCAUAUUAUUAGAAUGAAAUGUUGCUAAAAUACAAAACUUUUGGAAGAAAACAACAAAUAACUGCUUGACUUACUGCUGGACUCCCUGUGCCACUAGGUCACAGAGGCAAGGUAGAAGGAAGGGGGGAUAUAAGCAGAAGAACACAAGUAAACAAAAAGGGCACUCCACCCAAAAUAAACAUUAACCCUCAGUGCUAACAUACCUCUAGAUUUACACGUACAGCCUUACAACCCGAUUAGAAAAGUAAGAGGUGUCUAAAUCUAUUGGCAUAUUAAAACCCAUAAAGGGUCACUAUCAUCAGCAGACCCAUUACAGCUUAAUGUUGUGGUUUUGGGGCAAAUAGACUCGGCAUUGUAAAUGCUGUAUAAAUGGAGAUGCUGAACUCUCCACAGAGGUGUAGGGGCACACGUCGCAUGGCAAUAUGAGAACAAAAGCAUUAUCUGUUUCUCCUCUUCUCUAUACUACCUGUCAGGUGCAAAGGACAAAACCAAGACUGAGGUUCUCUGUUCCAGGGGAGAAGUAGCUUCAACGUUAUGGCCUUUAUGUAGGUUUCCAUUUUAAUUUUCAGACCCAUAUUUGUUAAAUAUAGGAGGAUAAGAAUUUUUUUUUUUUUUUAAUGUAAAAUCCUAAUUUUCUUGUUUAUUGUGUGUCCUUAAAUUCUUGCAAUUAGUAGACCUUCCAGUAGGAAAACGGACAUUGGUCUCAGAUUUUGUUAAUCCUUUGCCCAAGUCCUCACCAUAACAACUUUAAGAUGUCCUGUACAAACUACACUCUUAGGGAUAGUUACUAUAAGACACAGGCUCAUGUGACACAUGGCUGUACGCGGAUAUAGAUGCACUCGUAAAAAGGCCAUCAUUUCCAAGCACUUCAAGAAAUUGAUGUACUCAAAUGUGCGUUGCCAAGUGAACAAAAGGCCAAAACACAGCAGAACUAGAAAGAUUUUCAAAAUGUCCCCCUCUCACACCUUGGGUACAUUUUGCAUUAUGACUGAAUUCACCAUUUAGUGAUUAACCCCUAUUAAACUUUUAUAUGUGGUUUGCUACUGCUGCACACAAACAUUUUGUUUCUGCAUAGACUAUAAACUAUCUGCCAAAGGUGACUUUGGAACAAUGUGAUAAAGGAACACCUAGUAACUAUUUAUCUAUUGAGUUUGUAAAUGCAACAGCAACAGCUUCCUGUUGAAGGCAGACAGUCUGUUUCUGACUUAAAUGCCCACUUUCUAGUAGCUCAGACUGUUAUGGGUGUGUAUUUUAGUGAUAACAACAUUAACAUGCAGAGCGUAGAGCAUUAAAACUCACCACAAUGUAUGCAUUAAGCUGUACAAAUAAUAUACGUCAAUAUUGGUCUACAAAAUGUAUAUAAUAUUUAUUUUUUUUGAGUCUAAUCGGGAGGGCAUGAUGCAUGAAAAAUAAAAUAAAAAUAAUUAUAUCAUUGACAGCUGGUCCUAUAGCAACAUUACCCUAAAUCACGAUAGUUUAUCAAAAAAUGAGCGAUGAAUAAAAAUCUUUAAAAACAAAAACAAAAAAAAAAACAUUAAUUAAAAUCUCCAACUUGUGGCCUGAAUUUGAAAUAUCUUUUUUAGUUUCUUGACAAUUCAAAAUGUAUUAAAUGACGCCCACAAAUGUUUUUGUGGUCUGUGAGGUUUUUAUUGGGGUAUACCUCAAUCCUGGGAUUUCCAGACAAAUUGCUGGAGGUACCUCUGCAGUAACUAUUUCAAGUGCUUCAAAAAGGAACCUGUUGAGGUUUAAAGUCAUACAAAUGCCAGCCCCACUGGGGGAGCAGAAGAAGCUGGCCUAAUGCUUGUAUUAAUGUACUAGUAAUCUAGGGCUGCUACCUUUAGCAAACAUAGAAACUUGGAGGAGACAUUAAGGAAAUCGACUUAUCACAGUGAAAAGAUAGCUCGGCUGCUGUAUAGUACAAUAAUGGGAGUUAUUAAGGCUUGGUUCCAAACCUGAAUGAACUUUGGCAGCAAACUAGAGGUUGCAGUAAAUGAAGGGAACCUGGCACGAUGCUUGUUCUAAACCAUGCAGCAGUUUCCGCUGACUUAUGUAAAAUUGCAUUAAUUCAACGUCUACACAUGCAACCUUUGGAAUUCCAACCUGUGUGCUCAAGGACUGAACAUUCUAGUGGUUUGAAUUCUGGGUAGCAUGCCUACCAAAGCACACACACUGACCAAACCAAAUAUCUCUCAAGCAAUGCGAACCCACAUAGGUUACAGCGAAUGAACCCAGACAGAAUUUAAAUCAUCCCUUAUAAAUUCACCCAUUGAGAAUAAAUAUUGAAUAUUAAACCUAACUACUUAUAUUCAGGCUCCUAACUAUUACUCACAUGUUGCUCUGCCAGCCCUGAUUGACAUUUGGAGCAUAAAAUGGUGCCUUUAUUUUCAUGGGAACUGCAGGUAUUUAUACCAGAACUACAAAAGACACUUAUUCUAGGCCAGGGGUGCCCAACAGAUAGAUUCUCCAGAGGUUUUAAAACUACAGCUUCCAUGAAAGGCCUGCAAAGCACCAUGGGUGAUGUAGUUCUACAACAUCUGGGGAUCUACCUUUUGGGUACCCCUGGGUACCCCUGUUCCAGACAGAAUUUAAAUGAUCCUUUAUAUCCCGGAUGCGAUGGGUUAUAUAAACAUAGCCACGCAUCCGCCCCUUUCUUACGCAAGAUGCUACUAAGGAGCUUGUCCAUGCUCUAGUAAUCUAAGCAUGGAUUAUUGUAACUCUCUCUUAACAGGUCUUUCCAGAAGUCAUAUUGACUCGCUACAGUCUGUAAUGAAUGCUGCAGCUAGACUGAUUUUCCUCUCCUGUUGCUGCUCUCAAACCUCUCCCCUCUGUCAGUCCUUUCAUUGGCUUCCUGUAUCCUAUAUGAGUCAAUUCAAGGUACUAAUCCACACCUAUAAAGCACUGACCAAUUCUAGCCCCUCCUACAUCUCUUCACUGAUCUGCAGGUAUGCCCCUUCUCAGUCUCUCCGUUCUGCCCAUGACCUUCUCCUGUCCGCUGCUCACACCCGUACGGCCUACUCACGCUUGCAGGACUUCUUGCAGGUGGCUCCUUUCCUUUGAAAUAGCUUGCCUACAAUGAUCAAGCUCUCUCCUAGUCUUCAAUCAUUUAAAAAGUGCCUCAAAACCCAUCUCUUAAGGAAAGCUUAUGGCCUCCCAGAGUAACCUCUACCUCACAUACCUGUCUCUUGCUCUCUCCUAAAGGGCAGCACUCUAUUCUCUCCUCCAGCACGGAUUCACUCCACCUUGUUUGAUUGCUACCUCCUGUCCUGUUGUGUUUUACGCCCCACCUCCUAUAGACUGUAAGCUCGUUUGAGCAGGGUCCUCUUCAACCUAUCGUUCCUGUAAGUUUUUGCAAUUGUCUCAUUUAUUGUUAAAUCUCCCCCUUUGAUAAUAUUGUAAAGCGCCAUGGACUGUGCUGGCGCUAUAUAAAUACCAGUAAUAAUAAAUAAUAAUAAUAAUAAUAAUAAUAAUAAUAAUAGGCAAUACAAAUAUUACAUUUAUACUUUUUAAGUUAUAUUAAAAUCAUGCCUAGGUUGAAAUAUAUUUUUGGAAUUUUUAUUUUGUUUUACAUGUUUAUUUAGUUUGUAAUAAAAGCAAUUAGACUGUAAAUUAUUAGUGCAGUUUCAUAAGUGCCCACGCAGAGGCUAAUGAAGUCAGCAGAAAACAUAUUUAUAUAUCAAUAAGGAGAAAGCAUAAAGAAAUAUAACAGCUUCCAAUAAUCAUAUAUCGAAUUAGGUUGAUCGUGUAUUCUAAUGCAGGCGUCUGAGUAAGCAUAUUUGUACCCGAGUAAUAUAUUAUCUAAUUGAGUGUUUAGUUAGGAUGUGCAACGUUAGGUCAGUGGUGUAUCCUGGUUUUGUGCUGCCCUAGGCAGGACAAAACUCAGGCACCAGCGCCAUCCUCACCCAACCCUUCCACCCUGCCCCGCCUUCUAAAUACAAACACACACAUUCACUGAAAGAUACGCAUACACUAGCUAACAGACACACACACACACACACACACACACACACACUCACAUUAACACACUCACUUUUCUUCUUAAUUUACCCCCCCCGCCUCCUUACCUUUGGGAAUGUUGGGGGGGGGGUUCUUUCUCCCUGGGGUUUAGUGGGGCUACUGGGCAGGUGGCGCUGGCGAGGGAGCACUUUCCCCUGAGCUGUCUGCUCAGCUCCCUUGCGCACCGCAAAGUGAUGCUGGUCACCUGAAGCCGGAAUAUGACGUCAUAUUCUGGCUCCCAGCAUCACCCUGCGGCGCGCGAGGGAGCUGAGCAGACAGCUCAGGGGAAAGUGCUCACUCGCCAGUGCCGCCCGCCUGGCUUGUCAGUUAGCCACAAGGCUAACAAGACAUUUGCCCUGGGCAUUUGGGGCGGCUUUUUUUGCCAUCUCCUGGAAAAUGCCGCCCAAGGCAAAUGCCUUGUUUGCCUCGUGGCUAAAACGUCCCUGCGUUAGGUUACUUAUGCGUAAGUGGAAGAAUUUUUAUUUUGUAUGUGUGGAGUUACGUAGGAAUAAAGGACACUUUUAGAAAUCACACAAAUGCUUUAACACAGCUUUGACUGGAAGCCAUUCAUAGUUGUUAUAAUUUAUGUAGUGCCAACAAAUUCCGCAGCGCUGUACAAUGGAUUUUGUACUGUAAUUGCAAAAUAUAGGCCACAAAUUACUUGAAAUAGUAAAACAUUCUUCAAUGCAGUCAUUUUCCAGCUGAAAUUGUGGCCUAAAUGUGUAAUUUAUAGUUUAGUGAAUUAAUGCUCCUCUUUGGCAGUUUUCCAGAAAUGAUUUGGCCAUGGGGAGGAUGCAGAUGAAAAUAUUGUGAAAUAGGCGGUUUCCUAAUGUAUGGCUCAGAAUGAAAGUGUUUUGAAAUUCCAGCACAGCCCAUUAUCUGCUAAGUGCCUUAAUUUGUAUAGAAAUAUUCAUAUAUGAUUCUUAAAAAAGGGAAAUUGACGCAGCUCCUAUCAGAUGCUAUGCUGCACAUUUGGGUUAAGUCACAAUAGAAAAAAAAAAAAAACAGAACACAAACAAAACAAAACUAUAAUCACACACAAAAGCACUCUGCUAUAGUUUCAGCAUGGUUAUUUUAAUCCGAAUUUUGCAAGUUGAUUUUUAACUUACUGCAGUAUUGGCUCUUUUUUUUUUUUUUCAAUUCGUCAUUUAUUGAAAAAGUUUUGGUAUGUGUGGUACAGAAAAGAAAUGGGGAAAUGGUGGAACAUGUGCAAAUCAAGCAUUUCGAUCUGCAGUAAUAGAGAUUACACGCUAAUUGGCAAUCCAUACAUGAAGGUCAAGGCAACAGAGCCGUUUGCAUUAGCGGUAGGUCCAGUAGGUUAGAACCUUACUGGGUACUCGCACUCUGGAUUUUAUUCGUGGGGGCCAGCAUUACUGAAGCCCUGCGGAGGUAGGGUAGUAUGGUUUGGGCGGUUACGACCCAUUUGUAACAAAACACACAAGUUUGCUGAAACAAUCACCCAAUAUUCAACAUUUAAUCUAGCCCUGUGUCGCAAACUCAUUUCAUCCCCUCUAGAUUGCACAUCAAAUAGGUGGGGAUACGUCAGAACUCGAACAUUCAUAUAACCAUCAUUGAUGUCCACAUAUGUCUGUGUCUACUUAGAAGGCUGUGGACGGGAUACGCUAUAUAGGUGAUAACAUGUUCUGUGACGUGUGGUUAAGCCACCGUUGCCAGCUGUGGUGAGUGGAAGCUAUUUGUUUGGGUGUUGCUGCUGUUAGCAUUCAUUCCAAUUGUCGUAUCUUACGACAUAACUGCGGAGGAGAAGGGCACACAGUUUGUUUCCAGUGGCCAGCGAUCAGAUUGCGUGCAGCCAGGAUUAUUAUUACCAGUAAAUGCCUGUCCGAAGGAGGGACAUUAAUAGGGGAGUAUUGACUUUUUUAAACACCUAUUUUCUGUUUAUCAUUAGAGAUGUCGCGAACCGUCCUUCUCUGGGAGGGAGGGUCUGCUGGAGAUUGGCCGGGAUGUGUCAGCUGACCGGAGUUCGCCGUGAACAGCUCGUGGCGAACCGUUCGCGAGAAGUUCGCGGACGGUUCGCGACAUCUCUAUUUAUCAUGAGACAAAAGUGCUUUUGGUGAUCACACCUACGAUAGUACCAUUGUUCUACUACAAUAAAUAUAAACAAAAAUACAUUGCUCCCCUCAUUGGGUACAGAAAGGCCUAACAAUAAUGGCAGUGCUUUUCAGGAAAGCUCCAAAAUUAAUUUUAUUUAGACCAGACAUGAUAAUGUCACAAUGGACAGAUUUGAAAACCAUGCAUGGUUUGCACGCAUGCAUAUCAUACGUAGGCCCAGAGGAGUUCAAUUCAUAAAAGUACAUUUUCUGGAUUGUUUAGGGAAAUGUUUCUUUCUGCCCUGUAUAUACUUUUUUGAGGAGGCAGUGGAAGACGUACACACAAAAUAUUACCCUGCUACGACAGAUCUGUAGAAUUUAUACCCAUAUCUCCCAACAUGUCAAAUGGGCAGAAAGUGACAUUUAUUUUAGGGAGGGCUGCCUAGAUGGGGCAGUGCCAGCAUAUUAUAGAAACCCUUGUGAUCUUUAGUGCUACUGAAAAUGUAACCCGACCAAAGUAGCUUAUUUACACAUUUAUUUCUAAAUACAUUUAUUACAUCUUAAAUACAUAUCACUGUGAGUUUUAAAGUUCCGAGACUGUUAAACACCCAGACAUCCUAACAAUAUGGAGCUCCUAAAAGAGGGGGGCAUUAGGAUAAACGAGAGAGAGAAAGUUAUUUGAACUAAACUAGGGACUGAGCAUCAUAAAUAGGGACACUUGGGAAGUAUGCAUAUCUCUUAUCCCCCUAAGCCACUUAAGUCUUGAAACAAUGAGACGUAGUCAGAAGUGCUAUGCAGAGGUGUGUGCCUGCCUACGUAGCUUUAAUAAUAGGCUUCACUGCUGUGACUCAGUACUCGACAUAAUUAUAUUAAUUGUGCAGGCCCAAGCAUAUUCUGUAAUUGCAGUACUUGCAGGAAGCCCAGCAUGUCCGGGGUCAUGUAUUAAAUAGUGUUAAUGGUGAGGACUUUGGUUUGGGUGCCAGCUGGCGUGCAUUGACUUGAGGUUAAGCUAUAAGUUACGAUACUACAGGGUGUGUGUGAUUUGUGGUGGGUAAAGAUAGGUGGGGAGCACACGACAAGCUAUAGAAGGACACAUUGGGAGGAUUGCUAAUUAAAGUUGAGAAGAGAUCAGGGCUGCUCUGGGUUGGUACCAGAAAGACUUUUUGAGUCAGUGCAUCCACACCCACCACCUGUACUCUGUGCAGGACAGAAUUCUUUAACUUUUAAUUUUUUUUUUUUUUAUUAUUACAUUUAUUUUUAGAGGAGGACUUCACCCCUCCCAGGCACAAGACUUUGAGUAGGAGUUUUCUCAUAUUCUCCAACUGCACCUUAUCAGAAGUAUCCAAGGUAAAGGAUUGUUAAUGAAUGUGUCUUAAACUUAGGACUGCAUCCCAAAUCCCCUAUCCAUUCGUCAAGACACACAUUGCUUUAGCAAAUGCUCUUGAUUAAAGUUAAAAAUUCCUCCAAAUCAUUUCCUUUACACAAAACCCAAUUAAAUAAGCCUGUAAAUUUCAGGGUAUUUCCCCAAAGGCCACCAACAAACAUUAUCACAUUUCAUAGACACAGAUCAACCUCAUAAGUUUAUCCAGGUGGUCCUCACUUUACUACCAACUCUCUAGCAUGGGAAUUCAAAGGAAUUUUUCAUGAACAUAGAUUAGAGGGAUUCCCUGCUCUUCUGCGCUUGUCUAUGUUUGGGGAAAUUUACCCGAACAUAGACCUCACUUACUGACCAAUUCGUUUUACGACCUGAGUAUCUGUAAUGUGAGGAGUAUCUAAUGACAAGCAUCACAUGAAUAGUGAUGCCUGGCAGUAUGUAGUAGUCAAAUGCCAAAUGUAGGAAAAGUAACUCAAUCUGAGGAAGUCUACAAAAUGAUUGCUAAAUGACACAUCAUGUUCUGCUUAUCACAAAAAGAGACUGUGUGUACUUAAAACAUGGUUGAUUUUUGUCCCUGAAAUGGUCCAAUCAAAUGCUUUUUAUGACAAGCAUUUGAUUGGACCAGGCGAGGUAAUCAGUGACAUUGGAUAGGGGGUGCGGUGGGGUGACAAACAAUGUGGAGAGCUUCACUUGGCACGUUGUAAUUAAUUUUCUUCCCUUACUUUAAAGGUCUUCAGGGCGUAAGGGGGGAAUAACACCAAAUUGCUAAGGAUCAAUAAAAAAAAAGUUAAAAAGGUUUGGAGUAACCCUAUAAGAAAUAAAUAUGUAUUCUGUACAAGUUUAUUUCAGUCUGGGCAUGAUCCCUGGCAUAUCAUGCAAAUUCCAUGAUUAUUUGCAAAUUAGUACAGAGACAUAAAAGGAAAGCAAAGCUGCUUUUGCCACUUUGCAUAUUGACGCAUAUAGUACUGUUAAAAUGUAUGUAGGAAAUGGGCACAUUAUUUAACUGCAAUCCAACAGCAGACACUUUAGGAAACAGUUGUUUUAACUGUCCCAGUAGGCACCCAGACCACUUCAGCUAAUUGAAGUGGUCUAGGUGCUGUGUCCCUAUUGCACUUAGUGCUGCAAUGUAAAACAUUGCCUUUCCAGAGAACUGCAAUGUUUACAUUGCAGCUCUAAGUUUAAGUCUACCAGACAGCCACUGGGGGAGCUUUGGAAACGUUCUGCAUGAGGACUUCCAGCAUUAGAUUUUCCCCACAGGAAAGCAUUAGGUCUCCCCCGCCGGCAGAAGUUGGCAGAGGAGGAGCGUCUGCGGAGCCUGACCCAGCAUCGAGGGACAUAGGCCCUGGAUUCAGGUAAGUGGGUGAAGGGGUUGUAAAGAACCUCAUGUACUUUGUGAAGUACGUUCGUUUGCACCCUCCCGAAAUGCUAGAGGUUUAGUGAUUAUAGUCCGUUCGCAUAGUACGCUGGUUAGUACUAUCCCGAAAUCCAAGCAGGUUGUGAGAAUAAAUUAAUCGGUUCAUCGGUCACAUACUCAAACAUUAGUCAAGACUUGAUGAAUGGUACAACUGGAAUGUUUUAUUAUGGCCAGGUGGCCCACUUAUAUAGACAGAACCCCAGCAUGGGGUCUCAAGCAAGGACAUAGUAUAACACUCCCACAACAUGCCCAAGACAUUCCCAGGCCUCAGUGUCUGGGAGAUAAUUUAGUGUACUUUGCUUAAACUAAUUAUCUCCCAGGCACUAGAGGUACAAAUCAUAAAACAUAAAAUACCCCAAAUACAUAUAACACAUAGAUGAACCCCCACAAAUAUUCUACCCCAGAUAGCCUGGAUCUGAGCGCCUAACAUAUCCAAAUAGCGCUCAGAUCCUACGAAUAUAACCGAAUCGCCCCCAGGGUAAAGUUUUGACUUUUUGGGAGUUCCAAAAUGAACAAAAAAAACCAAACUGUUCCCCUGUUUAUAGGUAGCGAUUCUUCGCCUUGUUCAUGCGAACAAUCCUACCGAACUGCGCUCUCCUGGCUUGUCGUGGAAAGAAGCAAGUGUUCGUGUGAAAUUACAGGUGAUCGCAAGUCAAGUGUUCAACUUAUAGUUCCAGACACUUGAUGACCAAUAGAGAUGUCGCGAACUUCCCGCGAACGGCUCGCCGCGAGCUCCGGUCAGCUGACACAUCCCGGCCAAUCUCCAGCAGACCCUCCCUCCCAGACCCUCCCACCUCCUGGACAGCAUCCAUGUUGAAGCUGCCUUCGUGGCGAACCGUGGCGAGCCCUUCGUGGGAAGUUCGCGAACGGUUCGCGACAUCACUAAUGACCAAGUCCCGCUGCCUACUUUCGUGUGACAAGAUGGCCGCCGUUUUCUCCAGCACGUGUUGUUUGGUUAUACGAAUGGUGGCCAAAACAGAAAGAGCACUUGAGUUAGUUUAUUUGGAGCUAAUGAACCAAGGGGUGGUCCCAUCUACCGAACACAGGGAAUUUAACUGGGUGAAUAAAAAUACAGAGUUUGUCACAUGGGGUUUAACCCCUUCAGCCCCUCAGGAGGGGAGGGCGCAAUGGAGGGGGGCUCCUUAGGAACCUAUAGAGCCAGGAAAACAGCCUUUAAAUCGGUGUUAUUUACUGAAGUGAGAAUUGCUGGAAUCCAAAUAGAAUUUCAAAAUUUAAGGCCAAAGUAGAUAAACUGGAAAAACUAUCCCAAAUCAACUAGGUUUCCAGCACAAACACACACACUAAAUUAACAUUUUAAACUUUUUACCACCCUGAAGUCAAUGAGGAUUGUUCACUUAAGCGAGAAUUGUUAUCAAUUUAAAGUGAAUUUCAAGUUUAAAGUAUGACUAUAGUGUUUGGAAUAGAAAAACUGUCCCUAACUUUAUAAGUCUGUCCACCACCAUCCGAUGAUUGAAGUGUUAAAAACCCUCUUCCCAUAACCAAUGCUCUGCUAUGGGGAACAUAGCAGAUGUUAGAUGUCCUAAUGCUAAGCGAGAUGACGUCCAAGGUCCAUGAGUGAACCGGAAGUGCUAACAGCCAAGAGAGGAGGUUGAGUUAACACUGCAAUGUAAUCACUGCAGUUUAUCAGAACAUGUUUUACAUUGCAGAGUUAAACAAAGAGGGACACUGCACCUAGACUCCUUCAAUGAGAUGAAGUGGUCUGGGUGCCUAUAGUGUCACUUUAAGGGCUAAAUUGGAAGCAUAGAUAACUUGAGACAAUUCUCACUUCAGUGACACACUUUGAAAUAACAUAAAUUUGAAAGCUAGCCUUGUGCACAAAUCAAAUUUCUGUUCAAAAUACUUCUGUUUAAAUAGCGCAAAAACUUAUAUCAGCAUCUCCAAUAAAUCUGACAUACAGCAUUUCUGGGCUCCUAGCAACUACACACCAUGGACAUCUACACGUUUCAUUCGAAAGGCAAUUUGUCAGUUCCAGUUAAGUUAGAACCAUUCUACCCUCCUGACGAUAUAGAGAUAUUACAGGUUAAUUGAUUAAAAAGUCAUGCAGCAAUGACUUUGUAAUUUUAAAUCAAUUGCCUACAUUGGUAAAUAUAGAAUACUAUUUGCAAUUUUAAAAAUGUAAAAUAAAUGAAUAAAAAAAAAUUUAUAAAACCAGUAAACAACCUUACCAAUACACAUAUAUUGAAAAAACAAUUCUAAAUACCACCAGUUUAUUAAGUUUACAAUAUAGUAACAUCACUCAGUUUAUACUUUGUAUGAACUAUAGAGAAAACCAUUCUUUCUACAUGUCACUAUAUUUAUGAAAUAAAUAACAUCUUUCAAAUUGCAACAAAAUGUAUACUAAAUGAUAGUUUCCCCUUCCUAUUCAAAGUAUAACAGUUAAACAUAUAGGUAUUAGAAGAUGAAAAGAGCAAUUAUAAAGAACAAACAAAACAAAAACAAAAAUUUUUUAAAAAUAAAAUACAAAACAAAAAGCCCCUUGAUCAGCCAUAAUCAGUAUAGGAAGGAAAUGUCUCAUGCCACAUUCAGAGCCCUGGUAACCGAGGUAAAUAGCCAAAAAAAUGCAUCUGCCUCAUGCCAUAGCAGAGAUUAGGACACUGAUUGGCUGAGAGCACUCAGGUGAUGCUACCCCAUUACAUGGCUCUGAUAUUUUAUUAUUGCAGGUAGUUGGGGGACUAAGCCAUUUAGAAGUGGUGCGGAUGCCAGUGCUGGGUGACGCCAGACACCAUAAUCACUUUAAUCAGUAGAAGUGGCUAUGGUGCCUACAGUGUACCUUUUAAUCAAUUCUGCUAUUCACAAAAGACAAAAUUAUGUAUUUCAAUCACAUUUGCACUUCUAUUCAGUUUCAGUUUAAAAGUCAGGCAAAUCUCCAUAUAACAUAGGUGAUUCAACCAUUCAUUUGUUCCAAUUCCCCAGAUACUAACCAGGAGAAACUGGAACUACAAUUCAAAGCUCUGUGAAAUUGCUGCUUAAGGCUACAUACACCAAACAUCACUUCUCAUGAGAGAGACAUUUUAGUACAUGAACAUAUUUCAGAAACAUUUCAUACCUCCUCCAUGAUGCACCACUAGCUUCUGCUUUAACACAGGUGAGUUAAUCAGUAUAGCACUAUGUUUCAUUAACACACCUUUGCAGAGUUAGGAAUAAAUGUGCACCUCUUAAUAGGGCUGUCCAGAGGGGAAUGUUGAAAAUGACUGCUCUAAGUGCUUGGAGACAGCAUUUUGAGAACAGAAAAACUUCUCUACUGUGUUUUCACCAUCGCUGUCAUUAUUUUUGUUAACGUGUUUCCUACCAACAAUCCCAGGUUAAGUGAGACAGUCCUGAAUUUGUGAUCCUGUCCUGCUUCUAUGGAGGCUUGAAAAAAAAUUGGAAAAUAUUUUCAUUUGAGCUAUUUUGGCCUAAAAUUUUAAAUUUACUUUCAAUAUUAUUCAAUAAACUCUGAAUUGUACCAAACAUUAAAAUUUGAAUUGCAAAAACGGAGGCAAAAAUAACAGAUUUGGGAUAUUUCUCGAACUAUGUUUUAGGCAGAGGUUUGCUAUUUUAUCAUUUGGUUUUGAAUUUAAAUUUGAAUUCAGUAGAAUUCGGAGUUGGUGAAUAACCCUGACUGAUUUUAGUUGAUCUCCUGGCAAUACACUCUUCAGUGAAUAACAUUUUAUGAUCUAUAAAGAGACAUUUUAUUAGUAUGAGCGAAGCGUUAUUCUCCUUACAAUAUAAAAAUAUACAAAUUCCUUGUUCCAUAUGAUCACUGAUUUUCCAACUAUUAAUAAAAAAUAAAAAAAAGAUAUUCCGUUUGCUGAGCAAGACACAGGUCGUCUCUGUCAGACUCUACAAGGCUCUCACCACUGUGACUGUAAUUUUCCACAUGAUCGUCAUGGAAUCUAAUUUGAAGCCCUGUUUUCUAUGGGUUCCGAGACUAAACAGUCGCUUAGUGUCUAAACCUGUAUAAACCCAGAGACGCAGUUUGGAGAGAUUUAUUUACCAGCUCCUGCUUAUCCUUAACAUCUGUGUGGCAUUAAAGGCUUCAUGGGUGUGUUUAGGAAGGCAGCUGGGUUGCCAGAUCACCUACUGGGUUCUUUAAAGUGUUAAAUAAACACUCCAGACAUAUAAAGCACUUCAGCUUCAUGAGAGUCAGUUAUUUUCCUCAAUAGGAAUCGCAACUUUUAGAAUUGGGAGCAGAAACACCUCCCCGGCUGUCGCCCUACUUUUUGGAGCUAACAGAAGUAGCAGGCACACUGGGCUAGAUUGCAUCGGCCUUCUCAAUGAGCUGUACUAUAGUUCAUAUUAGUGCAAAACCGGGUACAUUUUUGUGGGAAUCUUGCACGUUUAUUGACUAAAGGGUAACUUGUCAGGACUUUAAGGCGUAUUUUAGGUCACAACAGCUGAAUUGGAAAAAUUCUGAUGUAUAUUACAUUUCAGUUUGGCAAUUGUCUACAAUUAUUGUUGUUAUUAUUAUUUUAUUAUUUAUAUAGCGCCAGCAAAUUCCGUGGCUCUGUACAAUGGGUUUAUCAUUUGAAAUUCAUAUUCACAUUCAAGAGCAUUUCCCUCUUUAGUGAACAAUCCCAUGUGUAGGCCGUCUGGUGGGCAGGACUUUCAAGCCCUGAAUGACAGAAUGUAGAAUUCAUGAGCAUACCAUGAUAAACGUGCAGUUUUUAAUCAUUUGAAUCAAAUGUAAUUGAAGGUUGAAAUGCGGUGAGCUUAAGAGAACUUAAAAAAAAAUAUCACUGCAGGUAGAUUUGGCUCCUGCAGGUGCUGUCCAGAAAGAUUAAUGAGAUAUAUCUAUCAUUGUGAUGAAAGGAUCAAUAGUUAUUCAUUGCAGUCUCGAAGUAGAUAAGUACAUUAUGCCAUAGUUAUGGUGGCCAAAUUCUCUAUAUGCAUGUAACUCAUUAAUAUUGAUUGUCAGGAAAUGGAAAGUGCUUCCCUGCAGUAUGUAGAGUUCAGGGAAUGGCUGGAUACAUUUUGCUGGGGAGGCGCAGACUAAAACGAAAGGCCUUUUUUGUGGCAUAAAAUUCAAAGAUCCUUUGGUGGAUGGUCCUACUCACCUAGAGCAUGAAUUAAUAUAUGGAUUUAACAGAUGGAGGCUCCUAGAACCACUAGGUAUGACAUCACAUAUCCCAGCAAUGUCACUAUGACCUGCACAGCACGGAGGAGCAUUCACAGAUAUUUGUGAGUGCUUAAGAGACGCUGUGCUGCUUAAUGCAACUCCACUGCUACCAAUGAAAAAGUGUAUUAUGAAAGCGCUGUCUCACCUUGGUCACUUGGAAACACCUCCUGGGUAGGUCAUAGAUGCUCAUUAUAGUCUGGCAGCUGGGUCAGCCCCAAAUACUGAAGUCUGCUUACCAAUUUCCCAGUUGAAUAGCCCAUGCCUGGAAAUACUGACAUUGGGGAUGAUCAAUGCAAGCACGAUCCAGAAGGACAGUACCAACAGGCAUCAAUGGACCUCCUGUUGCCCUAAAGCAGUGCUGUCACCAUUUGGGGGCUUCGCUGAAUUUGCAAAGACGCUUAAUGGUGACAUCGCCGCUGGGGGAAACCGGUAAGGAGAGAUUUACUUACCUGAAUCUGUCCCUCGAGGGUGCUGCAAUCUUUCAGGGUUUGUUCCUUUUAAAUUUCUGGUGCUCUCCAUGCGUGAGAGUACAGCAUUAGGAUCUAUGAAGGAUCCUGCAACACCGUAGGAUCCUCCAUAGACACAGCCAAUUCCCUGUAGCCGACAAUGGUGACUGCUGUUGGGACUGACACUUAAUUUGAGUCUUAAAUUGAGUCUAAGAAACUCAGGCAGAUGAAAAAAUACAGUGACAAAGGAGUCCCUAGUCUCUGUAUAUCUCUUGACUGGUUGGAAUUUCAGUAAAAUUCUUCUAAAUUCUUCAGUAAAAUUCUUCUAAAGUAAUAGCCUAGACAACUCUUAUAAGCUCUGGUUAAUGUUAGAAAGAAAAUAUAAAUCGUAAUAAAAUACAGGCACUUAUUUUGAAUAAAACAAAAAGUACUCCAGCUUCAGGGGGAUGACACAUUCAGAUAAUAUGACUCAAAUAGAUUAUGUUUAAAAAGCAUUCAGUUCCACCCAUGUGACUCUUCUUGUUUCUCUUUUAGAUGGGUAUCUGUAGAACUCAGCAUGUAGUUCAAGAUUACUGAACUACUACUUUGGAUGUACAUUGAGAGAUUGAUGGUGUCUGUGACUCCUGCUACCUCACCUAAUCAAUGAUAAGGGGCUGAGGAUGAAGAAUGCCCAUUGCUACGAAACUAUCCUACAUCAGCCAAGAAGACUUAUCAAUGCCUUGUUAUGACUCAUGCCUUCCCUUAGCAGAUAUUACCAAACCAAGCACCCAAAAACCUGACCACCUGGGAUCCUAUCUCAGCAUGCGAGGUCCUCUGGAGAAACCUACCAACCCAGGCCAGAACAUAGAACUAGUCAUCGGUUUAGUCCUCAGCCGCAGUGGUCAAUACUUUAAAAGGUUGGCGAUCAGGGUUUAGCUAUCCGGGAUACCUGAUAUGUGGGGUUU
Non-coding RNA from Pelobates cultripes (western spadefoot toad), 15753 nucleotides. The record is from the annotation of a GenBank genome assembly. NCBI's taxonomy places the organism in Eukaryota, Metazoa, Chordata, Amphibia, Anura, Pelobatidae.